AGAAAUAGGGGAGAAAGAAAGAAAGAAAAGAAAAAGGGAAAAUAAGGUUUUAAAGGUUCCAAGUUAAUUUGGUAAGUCAAUUUAGCCCAUUUUCUUAUGAUUUUUGAGUUUUUUUGGAAUCCUAGAGAUAAAUAGUACUUGUUUUAAGUAGAAAUUUUGAAAGUCAUUAGAUUUCUAAGUUUGGUUCAUGUUGAAUAAAAUGAUGGAAUUGGGGGUUUAUUUGAUAGAAAUUUUGAUUGGAAUUGAAUAAAGGAUUGAAUCGUAAACUAAGCUAUAAGUUUUUGAGUUUUAGGGAUUAAAUGGAAAUAAAUUUGAAAUUAUGAAAAUAUGCUGGAAAUUUAAUAGUUAAGUAUGAGUUUGGACAAAAUUUGAAUAGAAAUAAAGUAUGAAUUAAGAUAGAAAAGUAAGAGAAUUUAGUUAGGAUUAAAUUGAAAUUAAAGUAAAUCAACAUUUUGCUCUAAAACUGUCAGACAGCAGAAUAGGGGUGAAUUUAAAGAAUAAACUGUACUUAAUGGCUAAACCAAAAAUUCUGAAAAUUUUAUUGUAAGAAGAUUUGUGAGUCUAGUUUCAGGAAAAAUUAGCGGAUCUUAAUUUAGAAUUCUGUAACUCAAGAUAUGAAUUAGUAAUGUAUUAAUGAUUAUGAAUUGUAUUAAUUUCGUAGUCAAUGUGGUACCGGAAAUCUCGGCUAAGAAAGGACAAGACAAAGUCAACGGGAGUUAGCUCGAAAAUUACGAUUUGUAUUUCUAUAAUCCGAACUCAGUCAUUAUUUGUUAUAUUUAUAUACAUAUGGUAAUUGUUAGUAAUUGAAUUAUGAUGUUUUACAAUUGAAAUGGAUUGAUUUUAGUAUGCGAUGAAUUUAUUGAAUUUAUAUUGAUUGAAAUUAUUUUGAUUGAAAUUAUAUUGAUUGAAUUAUAUAAUAUAUAUGAUUUAUGUAGAAAUUUGAAUAUUGAAUGAAUGUUAUAUUGAAAAAUAUAUUGAUUGGAAAUAUGAGGAAAUUGAUAUGAAUAUAUGAGAUUGUGAUAUUUGAAUAUUUGGUAUUGAAAAGUGAAUUGAAUUGUAUUGAAUUAUGAAUUAAUGUGCAUAAUUGAAAUAUAUUUGUUGAAUUGAAUGAAAUUGUAUGAAUUGUGAAAAUGGAUAAAUAUGUGUAAUUAUCGGAAUGGGAUAUUGAUGAAAGAAUUAUUAAAUUGAGAGAGUGAAUGAAAUGCCCUAUUAACUAGUCGGGCUGAGUCGGAUAUAGUUGGCAUGCCAUAGGAUAUGGAAGUGUACGGGAUUUGUCGGCUUUACUGAUCAGGCACUUUAUGUGUCGUAUUUCAGGCACCUCGUGUGUCGUAUCAGGCACCUCGUGUGUCGUUUUAGGCACUUUAUGUGUCGUAUACUGAUCAGGUACUAUGUACCGUUUUAGGCACAAUGUGCCGUACUGGUGUGUUUGGGUUGGAAUCCGUGUAUCCGUCAAAGUCCGGGUUUGUUAAUAGGGGUAAAUAAGUAAAAGAUAAAUCGAAUAAAUUUGAUUGAUCAAGCUAUUGAAAUGAAACGAGAAAUUGAAUUGAGAAUUGAAAAUUUAUAUGAAAUUGAAAAUAUGAACCAAAGGUUCAUGAAAUGAUUGGAGUUCGAAUUGAUGAUAUAUGACGCCACUUGAUGAAUUGAAAUGUGAUUUGAGAUAUAUGAAUCGUAUGUAUAUACUGAAAGCUAUCAGGGAUAGUAAGUUGAUACGAUAUAAAUGAAAUUGACUGUUAUUGAAAUGAAUUAAAAUGGAAUAUGAUUGAUAAGUAUAUAGUUGAAUAUAGUUUAAUGAUACUGAAUUGUGAGUAAAUUAAGGAAGCUAUACCGAAUAGUAAGUGAAAGAACGGAGUAAAUAGUAAUGGAUUUAUUUAAGAAUUGAACAAUUAUGUUAUUGUGUUUAUUAUAUAAACUGUAUAAAAUUUAUAUGGUAAGUAGUUGAAAUUUAUCUAUGAAUAAAAAAUUGAAUAAUUGUAAUUAUUAUUAUGAUCUUAAGUAUUUGUUAUAUUAUUAAUUGUUCGGAUUACAGAAAUACCACUGAGUAUACCAUACUCAGCGUACGGUUUGUUUCCGUGCGCAUGUUAAGUAAAGAUAGUACGUUGAAUCAGCAUCCCAAGACGAUCCCGAAUUCAUUAAGGUAAAGUAUGUUGAGUAUUGAUAAUGGCAUGUACCUAGGACGUUUUAUGAGAGUCAUUUAGGUUAUAGAAGUAUUGAUGAAAUGAGUAAAUUAUGGUUGGCAACGGUAUGUAGUAUGAAUUUUGAAAUUUACUAAGAAUUCGUAGUGAUUCUAAAUUAGUCCCGAAUUGAAUUUACUGUUUAUAUUGGACCGCGAGGGCCCAUUAAAGGGACGACAUCUUAAAACUAGGAUGUGUGUGAAUAUUUAUUUUAAUUAAUGACCGGAAUUGGACUGUACUGACUGGUAAUGUCUCGUAACCUUGUUCUGGUGACGGUAUAGGGUUAGGGGACGUUACAAAUUAAUGGUAUCAGAGCUAUUCAGGUUUAGCCGAUUCUCGGACUAAAUCGAGCUCGGAAUUGAGUCUAGAGGUACAUGCCAUAAUUGAGUCGAAAUUGAGUCGGGAUCGGAUGCUGAUAUAUUUGUUUGGUACUGUUUUAUAGUGAAAAUGUUAGAGGAAAAUAUCGAUGGUAUUGAUUAUGAAAUGUGUACUGGAGACGAAUAGUCUCGUGAAUUAGAUGAAAACUGAAUCAACAACAUUGGGUAUAAACUCAAUGGGUAAUUAAUUACUGAAUAAUGACUGAUGAAAUAAUAGAAAAAGAAAUGAUAAAUAAUUAUUUAGAAUUAUAACUGAUGUUCUUCAGUGAGUAGAAGAAAUUGUAUCUGCUACAGUAUCUAUCCCUCCUGUUUCUUACUCGGUUCCCGAAGUGCUUCAAGGUAUAGAGCUUGUCUGAACGGGUAAGUUAUCUGCUGUUAAUGAUCUGUACAUGUAUAUAUAUAGUGUGGAUGAAUUGAGAAUUACAGUUGAGAAUGAUCUUGAAAGAACUGAAAUCUGGUUAGAGAAUAUUAUCGGGAUUGUAAAUGAAUUGUUCUGUUCACUGAUUAAAUGUUAGAAGGGUAUGAUAUUUCUGUUAAAAGAUUUAGGUUAUCAGUGGUAGAAAAAUUGAUUAUGUUGUGAUUAAGAAAGGGUUAUUUGGAAAUUUUCUAAGAUGAGUUCUGAAAGAAAUAUAUAUAUAUCAGUCAGAGAUUUCUUGAUCAGAAACAUACAAAAUUCUUGAAGCUUAAACAGGAUCAUAUAACUGCAACUGUGUAUGAAGGGAAUUUGUUUGAUUAAAUAAAUAUAUCAGAGGGUAUAUUCUGAUAGAAACUGUAUGAUACAAAUGGUUUGAAGAUGGUUUAAAUGAAGACAGAAGCUGAAAAAUAUAGAAUAAGGAAUGGAAUAUGUGUUAAACAUGAUUCUCCUGAUUAUUAUCUUAGUGAUUGCUUGAAGAAAAUUGAAAAAAACAUUAUUCAGAGUUCAAGACCGAGUAAUGUAGUUAACAGAGGUAGGUUACCCUGUAAUCUCAGAAAUACGAGUGAAAGCCGAAGUGUGACAAAUGACUUCACUGUAAAAUCUGGAGAAUGAACAUCAGCCAGGGUAUAUGUUAAUUGUAUAUGAGAAGAUUUAUCUCUACCGGAUGUCAUUACAGGUACUUUCUUCUUUAUCGACACUAAUAUGAUUAUUUUAAAUUGAUCUUGGUUUGACUAUUCCUAUGAUUACAUAAGUUCAGUAUCUAUUAAAGAUUUGUCUAUUGAGUUUGCUGAAAUUUUUGGAUUGAAGCAUUAAAAUUUUCAGAUUAGUAUUUAUGGGCUGAUAAAAUCUGCAGGAACUGUUUGAUAAUGAUACUACUAUUUUCUGAUGGAUUUGAUGUUCUUACUGUUUGAUAUAAUCUCAAUAAUGGAAUGGUUAAUUCUGCAUGAUAUGGUGGUAAAUUAUAAGCAGAAGUAUAAUAUGUUGCAAGAUGAAGAUGAUGAAAUGUUUUGUUGAAUUAGAGAAGAUUGAGCUAAUUGUCUAGUGUGAUAUUGAACAUGCCAACACAAAUAUAUGCCGGAAAGGGGUCAUGGUAUUUACCUUGUUUAUGUAUUGAAUAUUAAAGUAUUUAAGUUAAGGUUUAAAUCAGUGGCAAUAGUGCAAGAGAAUUCUAAUGUGUUUCCAAAAGAGUUGCCCGAACUACUGUUGAUUGAAGAAGUUGAAUGUGCUAUAGAUUUUGUAACUGAAAUGAUAGUGAAAAAUAUAUUUGAAAUCAGAGGUUUUCUAAAACUAGUCAGUUAUUACAGAAAGAUGUGGAAUUGGAAUGAUCUGAUAGACAUUAGCAAGGUUCUGAUUAGUUGAAAGCUCAGUUAACUGAAGCAUUAGUUCUGGUUUAGUCUGAAAUCCGAUGAAGAAACUUGUGAUUUACAGGGAUAGCAGUGUUUUAAUGCAAGAAAGAAAAUUAAUGAAUUAUGUUUUGGAAAGUUAGAAUUAUAUGAGAAGAAUUAUUUGAUACAUGAUUCGGAAGUGGUAGCUAUUGUCUUUGCACUAAAGGAUCAUGAUUUGAUAAUUGAAUAUUAUCCAGAAAAAAAAGCAAAUGGAGUUAUGAAUACUCAAAAUUGAAAGUUUUGCUUUGUGUUAUGAGCUAUGAACACUCGAUUGUCAUUAUCUGAUGAUCGCUCAAUUCUAGUUGAAAUAAAGGUUAAACUUACUUCCCUACAGCAGGUCUGCAAGUUCAGAAAUGUGGUAAUGAGUUAUCGGUUAAAUGGAUAUAGUGAUUAAACAUUUCGGAUUGGAUAUGAUGGUUGUUUGCUAUUUAGAAAUAAAAGCUGAACAGAGGGAUUCAGAACUUAUACAGGAGAAUUUGCAUGAAAUUAUAGUAGUACUAUGUCUAUGCAUUCUGGAAGAAUAAGAUGUACAGUGAUUUGAGACAGAUGUAUUGAAGACUGGGAAAAGAAAACCAAUACUUUGAAUUUGCAUAUAAAUGUUUAUAUUAGGUACAGAUAUCUUCAGAACUGUUACAACCAGUGGUGACAUCAGAAUGGAAAUGGGAUAGAAUUUUUAUGGAAACUAAGUUGGAAUUAUCUCUAUUUUUGAAAAAGAAUAUGCGGAGCUGUUUGAUUCGUGAAAUUGAAGAAAAGUGGAAGUAAUUCGAGAUAGACUAAAAGCAGUUUUGACAAACAGAAAUUAUAUAUAGACUUGAAACGUUGGGAUAUUGAGUAUUUUGUUAGUGAUAUGGUAUUUCUUAGAGAUUCACCUUGGAAGAACAUUUUGAAGAUCGGGUUGAAAGAGAAAUUAAGUUCUUGUUCUGUUGGGCUAUGUGAAGUUGUAGGAAAUUCGGACCGGUAAAAUAUUGUUUGGUUUUGCUUCUGAAGUUACAGAAAGUUUAUGAUAAUUUUUCAUGAUUUGAAGCUCAGAAGAUUAUAGAGAUCAAAUCUUUUACAUGUUAUAUCGACAAAGGAUAUUGAGAUUUGACGCAAUCUAUUGUAUGAGAAAGAGCCGGUUGAGAUACUAGCCUGAGCGGUAAUGUCAUAAUAUUGAGGAAGCAAUACGGGAACCGAAAGAAACAGUGAGAUCGUUGAACCCCCACCUCUCUUUUAGGCAAAUUUCGAGGACGAAAUUUCUUAAGGGGGAGAGAAUUGUAACGACCCGAAUUUUACUGUUACGGAAAAAAUGUAUUUUCGGGUCUCCAUUUCUGAAAAACGGAUUCGUAAAUAUUUAUUAAAAAUAUUUACGAAGUAAAAUGAGUGGUUAAUUAGAGUUUAAUUAAGUGAAUUUAAUUUAAUUAAGAGUAAUUAAGAAAAAGGACUAAAUUGAAUAAAUGAUGAAAGUUAAAUUGUAGAUUAAAAGAAAAUGAAGAGGACCAAAAUGGCAAUUAUGCCAUUUGUCCUAAGUGAGGCGGCAUAAACAUAAAAAUCUGAGAUUUUUAUGUGUUAAAAUAUAUAUUAAAUUAUUAUUAUUAUUAAAAGUAAAGUAAAUAAAAAGGAAAUAAAGGAAAGAAACAAAAGAAUAAAAAGAAGGAAGGAAACAAAAUAGCAGGAAAUGAAACAGAGAAGAAACAGGGGAGAAAGAAAGAAAGAAAAGAAAAAGGGAAAAUAAGGUUUUAAAGGUUCCAAGUUAAUUUGGUAAGUCAAUUUAGCCCAUUUUCUUAUGAUUUUUGAGUUUUUUUGGAAUCCUAGAGAUAAAUAGUACUUGUUUUAAGUAGAAAUUUUGAAAGUCAUUAGAUUUCUAAGUUUGGUUCAUGUUGAAUAAAAAUGAUGGAAUUGGGGGUUUAUUUGAUAGAAAUUUUGACUGGAAUUGAAUAAAGGAUUGAAUCGUAAACUAAGCUAUAAGUUUUGAGUUUUAGGGAUUAAAUGAAAAUAAAUUCGAAAUUAUGAAAAUAAACUGGAAAUUUAAUAGUUAAGUAUGAGUUUGGACAAAAUUUGAAUAGAAAUAAAGUAUGAAUUAAGAUAGAAAAGUAAGAUAAUUUAGUUAGGAUUAAAUUGAAAUUAAAGUAAAUCAACAUUUUGCACUAAAACUGUCAGACAGCAGAAUAAGGGUGAAUUUAAAGAAUAAACUGUACUUAAUGGCUAAACCAAAAAUUUUGAAAAUUUUAUUGUAAGAAGAUUUGUGAGUCUAGUUUCAGGAAAAAUUAGCGGAUCUUAAUUUAGAAUUCUGUAACUCAAUAUAUGAAUUAGUAAUGUAUUAAUGAUUAUGAAUUGUAUUAAUUUCGUAGUCAAUGUGGUACCGGAAAUCUCGGCUAAGAAAGGACAAGACAAAGUCAACGGGAGUUAGCUCGAAAAUUACGGUUUGUAUUUCUAUAAUCCGAACUCAGUCAUUAUUUGUUAUAUUUAUAUACAUAUGGUAAUUGUUAGUAAUUGAAUUAUGAUGUUUUACAAUUGAAAUGGAUUGAUUUUAGUAUGCGAUGAAUUUAUUGAAUUUAUAUUGAUUGAAAUUAUUUUGAUUGAAAUUAUAUUGAUUGAAAUUAUAUAAUAUAUAUGAUUUAUGUAGAAAUUUGAAUAUUGAAUGAAUGUUAUAUUGAAAAAUAUAUUGAUUGGAAAUAUGAGGAAAUUGAUAUGAAUAUAUGAGAUUGUGAUAUUUGAAUAUUUGGUAUUGAAAAGUGAAUUGAAUUGUAUUGAAUUAUGAAUUAAUGUGCAUAAUUGAAAUAUAUUUGUUGAAUUGAAUGAAAUUGUAUGAAUUGUGAAAAUGGAUAAAUAUGUGUAAUUAUCGGAAUGGGAUAUUGACGAAAGAAUUAUUAAAUUGAGAGAGUGAAUGAAAUGCCCUAUUAACUAGUCGGGCUGAGUCGGAUAUAGUUGGCAUGCCAUAGGAUAUGGAAGUGUACGGGAUUUGCCGGCUUUACUGAUCAGGCACUUUAUGUGUCGUAUUUCAGGCACCUCGUGUGUCGUAUCAGGCACCUCGUGUGUCGUUUUAGGCACUUUAUGUGUCGUAUACUGAUCAGGUACUAUGUACCGUUUUAGGCACAAUGUGCCGUACUGGUGUGUUUGGGUUGGAAUCCGUGUAUCCGUCAAAGUCCGGGUUUGUUAAUAGGGGUAAAUAAGUGAAAGAUAAAUCGAAUAAAUUUGAUUGAUCAAGCUAUUGAAAUGAAACGAGAAAUUGAAUUGAGAAUUGAAAAUUUAUAUGAAAUUGAAAAUAUGAACCAAAGGUUCAUGAAAUGAUUGGAGUUCGAAUUGAUGAUAUAUGACGCCACUUGAUGAAUUGAAAUGUGAUUUGAGAUAUAUGAAUCGUAUGUAUAUACUGAAAGCUAUCAGGGAUAGUAAGUUGAUACGAUAUAAAUGAAAUUGACUGUUAUUGAAAUGAAUUAAAAUGGAAUAUGAUUGAUAAGUAUAUAGUUGAAUAUAGUUUAAUGAUAUUGAAUUGUGAGUAAAUUAAGGAAAGCUAUACCGAAUAGUAAGUGAAAGAACGGAGUAAAUAGUAAUGGAUUUAUUUAAGAAUUGAACAAUUAUGUUAUUGUGUUUAUUAUAUGAACUGUAUAAAAUUUAUAUGGUAAGUAGUUGAAAUUUAUCUAUGAAUAAAAAAUUGAAUAAUUGUAAUUAUUAUUAUGAUCUUAAGUAUUUGUUAUAUUAUUAAUUGUUCGGAUUAUAGAAAUACCACUGAGUAUACCAUACUCAGCGUACGGUUUGUUUCCGUACGUAGGUUAAGUAAAGAUAGUACGUUGAAUCAGCAUCCCAAGACGAUCCCGAAUUCAUUAAGGUAAAGUAUGUUGAGUAUUGAUAAUGGCAUGUACCUAGGACGUUUUAUGAGAGUCAUUUAGGUUAUAGAAGUAUUGAUGAAAUGAGUAAAUUAUGGUUGGCAACGGUAUGUAGUAUGAAUUUUGAAAUUUACUAA
Molecule: long non-coding RNA, 8285 nt
Filed under: Gossypium barbadense (sea-island cotton)
Lineage: Eukaryota; Viridiplantae; Streptophyta; Magnoliopsida; Malvales; Malvaceae
Description: long non-coding RNA (GBAR_LNC004078)
Source: RNAcentral